RNAcentral lists this ribosomal RNA (396 nucleotides) under uncultured bacterium. RNAcentral describes it as "partial 16S ribosomal RNA". It matches the Rfam family "Bacterial small subunit ribosomal RNA", at positions 523 to 918 of the family's 1533-position model. The record is from RNAcentral.
AUACGUAGGUGGCGAGCGUUAUCCGGAUUUACUGGGUGUAAAGGGCGCGUAGGCGGGGAAGCAAGUCAGGUGUGAAAUCUAUGGGCUUAAACCAUAAACUGCACUUGAAACUGUUUCUCUUGAGUGCUGGAGAGGUAGACGGAAUUCCUUGUGUAGCGGUGAAAUGCGUAGAUGUAAGGAAGAACACCAGUGGCGAAGGCGGAAUUCUGUAGAGUAACUGGCGCUGAGGCGCGAAAGCGUGAGGAGCAAUCAGGAUUAGAUACCCUGGUAGUCCACGCUGUAAACGAUGAAUACUAGGUGUGGGGUGACAGACCCCCUCCGUGCCUCAGUUAACACAAUAAGUAUUCCACCUGGGGAGUACGGCCGCAAGGUUGAAACUCAAAUGAAUUGACGGGG